GUCGGAUUACGGGUGUGAAGGUGCCUAAAGGAAUGCUUGUUCCAUUUUUGCCCUUCAGAAGUUUCAAUGUUGAUGCGAAGAUAAAAUCUGGACUUCCUUGCACAUCAAAAGAAACCCACCACGAGCCAAUAAGUUCCACAAAACCCUCUGACUACAUUCACAUAUGUUCAAAUUUGAAACAAGAGUUGUUCUGUAACCCCAUUGAAUUGC
RNAcentral lists this unclassified non-coding RNA (210 nucleotides) under Hevea brasiliensis (rubber tree). The record is from RNAcentral. Lineage: Eukaryota; Viridiplantae; Streptophyta; Magnoliopsida; Malpighiales; Euphorbiaceae.